GGGGCGAGAUGUUCACCUUCAGCUCAUUUUCUGCCACUUUGAAGAUAGAGAAGUCCUGCUGUUUCCUUUCAUGGUUGGACACGCGCCUUUUUGUGCGAUUAUCAGCUAUGAACAGACACAAAUCCGAGAAAACAAAAAGAAAGUGGACAUUGGGGGAUUAGUCUCCAGACACUUUGACAGUUGGAAGACUUGGCUUCCUUACGUAAACACAGAGAUUACACAAUCAGUCUGGGGAUGCCUGCAUCUGCUGAAUAAACUGCCCAUGCUGCUGCCACCUCGCCUGAAGGCUCUGACACACAAACACAAGAAGGUGCCAUGGGAAAGCUUUCCAGGCUUUUACUGCAGCCAUCUUCAAAUUUUACUCGUUGUGAAGUCUCAAUAUCUUUUUUCUGGUCUUCAGGAAUCAUUUGAUUCUGCUUAUUGGUAGCUGAGGAUAUCCAACCUCUUCACCCUGAAAAUUUCUUUGUUGUCAUGUGUUUAGAAUAACCGUCCUGUUGCACGAUAAAAAUUCACCCUGAGAGUUUUGAUGUGUAUGACUCAGAGUGAGCAGGCUACUUAUCCUGGCGCUUCACCAGCAGAAUGAAUAAAUAGACAGUUAUAAAUAAAAGCCAGUGUGCCUGUUCAUUUGGCAGCCAUACACACCCAAGCCAUAAGAGGAGUACCACUAUGCUUGACAUAUGAGGUGGUAUGCUUUGACUCAUAAACUGUUUCUUUUUAUUCUCUGGUAUUUCCUCUUUCAUUUGGAUAGUGGCUGAUGUUUAUUUCAACAAUCCUUAGGAUUUGCCUUCCACGACUCCCCCGGCCUUCCCUUUGUAUGUUUUUGUAAAGUGCAUUCCAUCUUUUUAUUUUAGAUGUUUGCAGGAUUUUGUAUCUCGUGUUGAAUUGUCUGAGGUUGUGGUCAUUAAGUAUUCUCUUUGUUGAUGGCUGACAAAGAAAAACAUGCCUCUAAAGAACACUGUGGAAAGCAUUUUUGAGUUGCUGUGCAAUCAUAAAGGGGAGUUUUCUUCAGCAUGAACAUCCACAAGAAAAGCAGCUUCUUUGCUAUCGAUUUUGGAAAGACUUUUAUAAAUGUCUGAUAGAUUUUUACUUGUUUAAUUGCAUUAUCUUUUUCACUUGCUCUGUCACUUUUUUACCAAACAAUUUUAAAAAAUAAAAAAAAGAUCAUUGUAGCUGA
Long non-coding RNA from Oreochromis niloticus (Nile tilapia), 1174 nucleotides. RefSeq lists it as uncharacterized. The record is from RefSeq and is a predicted model, not a curated record. The transcript has 3 exons. Lineage: Eukaryota; Metazoa; Chordata; Actinopteri; Cichliformes; Cichlidae.